Molecule: long non-coding RNA, 1276 nt
Filed under: Homo sapiens (human)
Lineage: Eukaryota; Metazoa; Chordata; Mammalia; Primates; Hominidae
Description: non-protein coding lnc-TEKT4-1:1
Source: RNAcentral
UAACUCCUAUAGACCCUUCUCAGGUGCAGCCAGAGACACACUAGCCCACUGAUGGACGGACAGACGUGGACAGGGUCCAUCUCACUAAACCACCCACCACUGCCACAGCUGCCUACAACAGACACAUCAGAUGAGACUCCAGGCAAAUACAUAAUUUUCACUGAGGACUUAUUGGUUUUAAGAAUAGGUCCUGGUGUAGAGAAGUCCCUCAACCUACUGUGCAACAUGUUUUGAGAAGCGGGUAAGCUAUAUGUUUUGUGGUUUUGUUUCAUAAAUGCAUCUACAAGAAGACCAGUAUUGACUGAAUGAAGCUUUUGUUUAAAGGGCUAAAAUAUGCUUUGUGGUUUUAUAUGCAGAAACUACUUUAAACCUAAUGACUAUUAAUUGUAUCAUAGCUUGUGAUGUAGUCUGCUCAUGGCUUUUAAGGUAAAUUGUGCCAUGAUCCACUGCCAUUCUAAUUGCUUUAAUUAACAAGUCAUUACCACACUACUGUUACAUCUUAAUUAUGCAUACAGACAGGUAGACUUAUUUUACAUAUGUGAACUAAUAGUUGUCAAAGCAAAUGCAAAUUGUAUUCCGCAAGUAAACUCUCUCUGAAAUUUCUAGGGAUGUUCUUUAAGUGAAAUUAAUAUUCAAACUGAAGAUUUUAGUUAAAAGAACUGAGUGCAGAUUAAAGUCUUGUUGUGAUUUAAACAUAGUCAAGAGUACAACUGUGAUACUUCAUGGAAGUUAUGCAAUAAAAUGUCUCUAACCUGCAAACAAAUCUAUCAAGCAGACGGCACAGUACUGAAUUUGAAACCAGAAAUACUGGGUUUUUAUAUAAAUGCUUCAUAGAUUUGUUUUAUGAUAAAGGGUACAUAACUCUCCUAAACCUCACACCACCUCUUAAAUAGGGACAGUAAGUCCACAUCAACACGCCUGCCUUAGCUAUUAUUAAACUCUUACAGUAUGAUGUAAAGUGAAAGUACAAUGUAACAUCAUUCCUAGGCCAACUUUGUCCAGUUUUAUACAGAAACGUGCCAACUUUUCUGUUUGCAAGGAUAAUAUCAAAGCAAACACCAGAAGGUUGUAUCUUUGAUGCAUUUUUUCCAAAUCAUACACAUAAUAAACCAAAGACAAAUGAUGAAUAUUAUUUCAGAAAAUAUAAAGUCUUCCCCUUUCUUCUUUUGCCAAGGAAGUCUAAUAUUUUCACCAUUUUUAUGCACACAAUCAACUUUAUUUAACCUGGAAGUUAAUGUCUCAUUGUUUUCAUUGUUCUAAAUAAACACCUUUUCCC